AACAAGGCGUACCUGCGGACCUGCGGAGGGAUCAUUACAGAGUUGCAAAACUCCCUAAACCAUUGUGAACCUACCUUCUACCGUUGCUUCGGCGGGCGGGCCUAGCGCCCCCCCGGCCCCCCGCGGGCGCCCGCCGGAGGAUAACCAAACUCUUGACAUCAGUGGCCUCUCUGAGUAUUCUUUACUGAAUAAGUCAAAACUUUCAACAAUGGAUCU
This 216-nucleotide unclassified non-coding RNA is filed under the name soil metagenome. Its description in RNAcentral is "partial contains 5.8S ribosomal RNA, internal transcribed spacer 2, and large subunit ribosomal RNA". The record is from RNAcentral.